Molecule: long non-coding RNA, 2037 nt
Organism: Daphnia magna
Lineage: Eukaryota; Metazoa; Arthropoda; Branchiopoda; Diplostraca; Daphniidae
Exons: 4
Source: RefSeq, a predicted model, not a curated record
UAGGCCCAAGACAUCCCAGCAGCCAUUUUUUUAAGUUCUGCUCCAAGCUAGCACCACGCUAACACCACGCUGAAGUCUCUCUCAUUUUCGUUUUGCUCACAUUGUGUAAAACUGUGUUAAUUAUUCACUCCACUGAAGCCAGUCAUUUCUACAGUUACAUUCAGUUCUUGUCAUCGAGUAUUGUAUACUCAGUGGUCCCCUGGAUGGAAUAAAACCCGAAUAAUUUGUGGAAUUGGAAAAUUUGGAAGAACCACGCUUUUUCAUGGAAUGGUUUUUGUUUAGCCACUUGCAUCAAAAACACGCAUUUGUUAAUUAAUCUUUAUAGAAUGUGACACAGUGGUAAGCCAUGGGAAUAGCAGGGUGAUCUGCAAUUUCUGGACAUUCCUGCUGCAGAGCUUCAACAAGACAUAGAGAAAAAUAAUCUCAACUCAGAGGAUCCUCUGAAAGAUAGAGAAGGAAGGGAGUUUGAAGCUGUACCAGCCAGUUUUGUCUAUUAUGAGUAUCAACUGCUUAUGUUUGGUUCUUUAUUAAGACGAUUAUUAAUGCAUAGAAUUUUUCAUAUUUAACCAUUGUUUGAUGACUUUGUCCGAGAUGCCAAUAACGUUCCUGCAACAACCUUUAGCUCAUGAACCCUUUUGGAUCCAACAAUUUAGGAGAAAAUUGCUUUGGAGCUGCUCUUGUUGAUGAGCUUAUAACGGACAGGAAAAAACUAAUUCUGCACUUGCUAAAAAACUGCCAGUGGCUACUGCACCAAAACUGCAAGUGGCUCCUGCUCAAAACCGGCAAGUCGCUCCUGCCCAAAUACUGCUAGUCGCUCCUGCCCAGACACCAAAAUUUGUGGAAUCGAACACCGGUCUCCGGCGUUCUAGCCGGAACCUCUACACAUAUGCCAGCGGUAUCUACGAAACCACGCACAAACAGCUAGCUAAUUUUUUUGAUUAAGGAAUGUUUCAAAGCCUUAGCUCAACAUUUCCAACUGUCGCUUAAAAAAACACACCCCCUGAGGGAUUCAUAAAUGACCUGACCUGUUACUUGCCCUGAAGAAAAAAAGCAAGAUGUAGACUUUCCCAACCCUGCCCUGUCAUCUCCUCACCCCGUCUACACUACCUAUUAAAAAAAAAUAAAAAAUAAACGCGUUACCCCGCCAAAAGAUGGCUUUCAACAUUUGAAUCGGUAGUCGGAUUUUUGUGCAGGAUACUGUACGUAUAGAAGAACUCUAAUAGAGUGCCACGUAGCGGUAGAGCACUAUCGCAUCUAUCUAUAGUAACUGAGAUCGGCAACCAUAAUUAGGUGUAUGUUGUAUUUCUCAGCUUCAUUAGAAACACACGGGAAUUUAUGCUUUUUGGGAACAGCUGCUAUGGAAGGAAAUCUCUACCGACAAGACUGCUGGACAUCUCAGAUUAUAUUGCGGGAAAUCUCCGAUAAAAAGAUCGCCGGACAUGACAACCGAGUCCAUAGUUUCAAUCACCGCAACAAUAUGGAAGAAGCUUAGUUCUUAACACAAAUAUCUAUGUAACAGUGUUCCCUAAGAUUAAACAAUUUUGUGUAAACAGUGAUACUAUUCUUGACGAAAACAAAAAAAUCGGAUGUUUAUAUAUGCAAGUGUUCAGUAUGUAAUCUCUAUUCAGUGAAGGAGAUGGAAGAUCAACAUCCUCUUUGGAUAGGGGGAAGGAAUGAAGUAGGUUGAAACUGCUUUCAUUAUGCUUGACGGCAACUUGCCGUAGUCCUGAAGUUGAAGUGACGCACAGUGCACACACUACGUCACCACGCAUACGAUUUUAGCCGCUCUUAUUGCGCUUAGCGGUAACUCACCAUGACCCGUAGUUACUGAUGGCGCGUAGUAUGUUACUCUCUCACCACACCCACUUCUGUCUCUACCGCCUAGGCGUGUUGAUGAUUUCUCCCAUGGCGUUUGCAACUGUUGCUACUUAAGUGUUUAAAAAAAACCUCCUUUUCGCUAUUGAGCUUAGAUUUGCCCGUGCUCGCAUCUUGUGUAUACUUGUACCGGGAUAUAAAUAAACGGCCUAUGUUCUCUUA